GUCAGUACCGGCACCCAGGUGUGCCCAGGUGUGCCCAGGUGUGCCCAGGUGCCCCCAGGCGCUCACCGUUGAUGAGGUAGGGGUGGUUGCAGCACUUGCGCAGCUCCAUCAUGGUGUUGAGCAGGUUGGGCACGUUGCCGUGCCCCGCCCCGCGCGCCAGGUAGGCGAAGUUGCGCUCCAGGAUGGCGCCGCCUGUGCCCAGGUGUGCCCAGGUGUGCCCAGGUGUAUCUG
Motacilla alba alba is the source of this 231-nucleotide long non-coding RNA. RefSeq lists it as uncharacterized. The record is from RefSeq and is a predicted model, not a curated record. NCBI's taxonomy places the organism in Eukaryota, Metazoa, Chordata, Aves, Passeriformes, Motacillidae. The transcript is spliced from 3 exons.